Molecule: unclassified non-coding RNA, 433 nt
Filed under: Hevea brasiliensis (rubber tree)
Lineage: Eukaryota; Viridiplantae; Streptophyta; Magnoliopsida; Malpighiales; Euphorbiaceae
Source: RNAcentral
AGCAUUCAGGUUCUUUUGUUGGGCGGCUAUGAGGCCAGGGUAUGCUCAUGAUUCAAGAACGUAUAAUGUAAUGAUGGCAAUACUUGGAAAGACGAGGCAGUUUGAGACUAUGGUUUCGGUUCUUGAAGAAAUGGGGGAGAAAGGUUUGCUUACAAUGGAGGCAUUUUUGAUCUCCAUGAAAGCAUUUGCUGCAGCAAAAGAGCGGAAGAAAGCUAUUGGGAUGUUUGAGUUGAUGAAGAAGUAUAAGUUUAAAGUUGGGGUGGAGACAAUCAAUUGUUUACUUGAUGCCCUGGGAAGGGCAAAGCUUGGGAAAGAAGCACAAUUAUUGUUUGAGAAAUUGGAGCAUAGAUUCACACCAAAUUUACAAACAUAUACGGUUUUGCUCAAUGGUUGGUGUAGGGUAAAGAAUCUGAUGGAUGCUGGUAAAGUGUGG